Molecule: transfer RNA, 68 nt
Filed under: Pelophylax plancyi (gold-spotted pond frog)
Lineage: Eukaryota; Metazoa; Chordata; Amphibia; Anura; Ranidae
Description: tRNA-Ser
Source: RNAcentral
GAGCCCGACUGGAGUAAUGAGAACUGCUAAUUCCUCACCCCCAUGGUUCAAUUCCAUGGCCCGCUCGU